This 3476-nucleotide long non-coding RNA is filed under the name Homo sapiens (human). RNAcentral's name for it is "HSALNT0041795". Lineage: Eukaryota; Metazoa; Chordata; Mammalia; Primates; Hominidae. The record is from RNAcentral.
UGCAGUUUGAUCUCUGACUGCUGUGCUAGCAAUCAGUGAGACUCCCUGGGCAUAGGACCCUCCGAGCCAGGUGGGGGUUAUAAUCUCGUGGUGCGCCGUUUUUUAAGCCCGUCGGAAAAGCGCAGUAUUCCGGUUGGAGUGACCCGAUUUCCAGGUGCUGUCCGUCACCCCUUUCUUUGACUGGGAAAGGGAACUCCCUGACCCCUUGCCCUUCCCAAGUGAGGCAGUGCCUCGCCCUGCUUCGGCUCGCGCACGGUGCACGCACUCACUGACCUGCGCCCACUGUCUGGCACUCCCUAGUGAGAUGAACCCGGUACCUCAGAUGGAAAUGCAGAAAUCACCCGUCUUCUGCGUCGCUCAAGCUGGGAGCUGUAGACCGGAGCUGUUCCUACUCGGCCAUCUUGGCUCCUCCCCGCCAAGCCUGUCAGUCAGAAUUCCAUUGCAUGCCUGUUCUUGAACAACCAUGGUCAAGGAGACAAGAUUCCUGAUGACUGACUCACACUAAUCAAAACUCAGCCACUGGUCCUAGCAAACUUCAUGAGAUGAGAGUGGAGAGUGUCCCAUCUCAUCUUAAGCAUAUGACUGUCCCAUACCCAUACAAAAUCAGGUUCUUUGCACAAAGAACAAUAGAGGUGAAUGACCAAUGAGUAAUCAAAGAGAGAGUUUUUCAGAAUAUGACUGCAUUUGGAAAUAGGGACUUUAAAGAGGUGAUUAAGUUACAAUGAGGCCACUAGAGAAGACAAUUAUCCAUUUGGACUGAUGUGCUUAGAAGAAGAGCAUAUUGGUAAAAAGAGACACCAGAGGUACAACAGCACAGAGAAAGACCAUGUGAGGACAUAGUGAGAAGAUGGCCAUCCCAUCUGCAAGCCAAGGACAGAGGCCUCAGGAGAAACCAACCCUGAUGACACCUUGAUCUUGGACUUCACAGCCUCCAGAACUAACAUACUCAAGUGUCUCAGCUCAACAUUUGGAGAUGAGCCAUCCUCCUCUUAUUGUAAGAAAAGCUUGAAGGAGUAUUUUCACAGCGAUGGAACUGGAAGUUAAGGCAACUUCUAUCAGCAUCAAGAAAAGAAAAGAAGUAUUCACCACUUACGAAACAACAUCUCUCUUCUCAUCAAUAGUUUGAUUUACAGCAUCUACUGCAGAAGACCUCAAUAAUGCAUAAGAACAUCUGGAAGUACGGUAAUUUCAGCUAUCAGAGAUAAGAAUUGACACAGAACAGUUUCCUCACUGGAGAAAAUAAGCCUGGUUAUUUUUUGGCCUAUGUUGAAACAUCAUAAGUAGAAUGAAACAGCAUAAUUUUUUCCCCCUGGGGUUCAAGAGUUUAUUUCUUUUGAUACAACAAUAAAUCAACUGACGAAAUGGAAUUUCUUUGCAAUACAUAUGCAACAAGUUAGUUUGCAUGGACAAGUUGAGCUUCAGUUUAUAUAUAGACACUCUGGAACAUUUUAUUAUAAAGCAAUAGUGCUGGAAAGCCACUUAAAGGGGUAACUGCACCAGUAACUAUGAGAAGGAGAUAUAUGAUUAACCUAGUAGAACUUAAAAAGUGAUUUCUGCAGCUUUGAAAUCAUCUACACAUGAACUCAAGCAGCAAUACGUAUUGGCAUCUGGAAAUCUGCAGAUUUGGAUGCACAAACAAUUAGACAUAAGACACAGCAUAAUGAAGUAUUUGUUUUCAUAGAGGAUCAUAGAAAUUCAUAAACAGAGGAUGAAGAAACACAGAAGACAGAGGAAGGAUUUAGUUUUGGGAACAUGUGCUAAUGGCCAUCAAACAAUUCUGAAAUAACUGAAAGAGAACCUUUGAAACACCCUUUAGAUUAAGAGCCUGGCUUGUAAUCUGUAACAACAAACGGUAUUACAAUGAGAAAAAUAAAUGUCCUGUCAAGGCAUUCCUUCAAUGACAUCUUGUCACACAAGUCUAUAUCCAAGGCUGCCCACAAAGUGGAAAAAUGGGGAAAAUAGAGAAUUCAGCUCACUAUGAUUUCUGCAAUAUACAAUUAUGGGAAAUCAUGUUUGGAUUGACACUGCAGACAGAAAUGGCAUGCAUGAUUCCUGUUUGGACAGGAAUAGCUGUUGGGGAGGAAGCCAACCUUGAAUGACACUGAAGAGCAACAUAAUGAAGCAUGAAUUGACAGGCAUCCUUCACGUUGCUUCUGGCUUCCCGUGUAAAAAGCCAUAUCUGAGCGCAGCUCUUAUGGGGCCAGAUCCAGGGGAGGAGAAAGGAAGUGAGGCCCAGAAAAAAUACAUUGUCAUGGAGGAGUGAAACUGAAGACAAAACAAAAAGGACUUUCCACAACUAGGCCCCUGGCUUACACUGCAAUGGAAGAAGAGGAGCAGAAAUACUGCCAAAGAUCCUUAUGAUGGCAUUGCAUUUUAGACUGCUUUUCAACUGAUUAUGACAGUAUCAACAAAAGAAACUUUCAUUUGAGGGACAUGGAUGGAGCUGGAGGCCAUUAUCCUUAGCAAGGUAACACAAGAACAGAAAACGAAAUACUGCAUGUUCUCACUUAUAAAUGGGAACUAAAUGAUGAGAAUAUAUGGACACAUAGAGGGGAACAACACACACUGAAGCCUUUUAGAGGGUGAAUGGUGGGAAGAGGGAGAGGAUCAGAAAAAAUAACCAAUGGGUACUAGGCUUAAAACUGGGUGAUGGAGGCAGGGCGUGGUGGCUCACGCCUGUAAUCCCAACACUUUGGGAGGCUGAGGCGGGCAGAUCACCAGGUCAGGAGAUGGAGAUCAUCCUGGUGAACACGGUGAAACCCCAUCUCUACUAAAAAUACAAAAAAAUUAGCUGGGCGUGGCGGCCGGCGCCUGUAAUCCCAGCUACUCGGAAGGCUGAGGCAGGAGAAUGGCGAGAACCCGGGAGGCGGAGCUUGCAGUGAGCUGAGAUCGCGCCACUGCACUCCAGACUGGGCGAUAGAGCAAGACUCCCUAUCAAAAACAAAACAAAACAAAACAAAACAAAACAAAACAAAACUGGAUGAUGAAAUAAUCUGCACAGCAAACUCCCACAACACACGUUUACCUAUAUAACAACUUGCAGUUGUACCCCUGAACUUAAAAGAAUAAUCGGCCAGGCGCAGUGGGUCACGCCUGUAAUCCCAGCACUUUGGGAGGCUGAUGUGGGUGGAUCACCUGAAGUAAGGAGUUCGAGACCAGCCUGGCCAACAUGACGAAACCCCGUCUCUACUAAAAAUAACAAAAAUUAUCUGGGCAUGUUGGCACACGUGCCUGUAAUCCCAGCUACUGGGGGACUGAGGCAGGAGGAUCACUUGAACCUGGGAGGAGGAGGUUGCAGCGAGCCGAGAUCGCACCACUGCACUCCAGCCGGUGCAACAGAGUGAGACUUCAUCUCAAAUAAAUAAAUAAAUAAAAGAUUAAUAAACAAAAACAAAAAAACACAAAAAAUUCUAUACCUCAAUUUAUAAAAUUCUAUAACUGUCUAUUAACUACUAAUAAAAAUGUGUGAUAAAGGC